CUUCUCGCAGAGGCUCUUGACCUGGGACUGGGACAGCUGCUCACACUCGGUCAGCUGCUCCAUCCACUGGU
This 71-nucleotide microRNA precursor is filed under the name Propithecus coquereli (Coquerel's sifaka). RNAcentral describes it as "miRNA (ENSPCOG00000011188.1)". The record is from RNAcentral. Lineage: Eukaryota; Metazoa; Chordata; Mammalia; Primates; Indriidae.